AAUUAGUCGAGUGGUCGUAGCGCCAGCCUCUGACUCACGAGGUUAGGCAUUCGAUUCCCACUU
Molecule: transfer RNA, 63 nt
Filed under: Crypthecodinium cohnii
Lineage: Eukaryota; Dinophyceae; Gonyaulacales; Crypthecodiniaceae
Source: RNAcentral